CCUGUGUCCUGCAUAACUUCAUGAGGAUGGACACGAGGACCAGGAGGGGAUCUGAAACUCGCCGCCGUGUGCUGCUCUGCAAGAUGUUUCAAGGAUGGGGUCCAACAACGCAGCAAGAGAGUAAGCAGGCUUAGGUGUGUAACUGUGGCUCCUUCCACCUUCAAAGAAUAGGCAAGAGGGCCAAUCAUGGAGAAUAGUAAGAUACUUCAUUAUGUCUAUAACUACUCUAUAUUGUUUGUCCUCGUGUGUCCGUUCAUGUUUUUCAGCAUAAAGUACUCUGCAGCCACUUAGUGUGGUGUGGACACCAGGAGAGGCCACACAGAAAUUCCUGUUGAACACGGUCACUUUAACUACCUUAUUUUUCAAUAACAGUCUCUCAACUUCACUUCAUCCCUCUCUCCUCUUCUCCCUAAAUCCUCUAGGUUAUAUCAGCUGUGUCAGUGAACCCCUCCCACAUCUGAACUGGCUACAUAGAGGGCACAGCAUGAUCAGAGAUUUGUUUUGAUGUGAGAGAGGAUGCCAAUCCCCAGUCCCAUCAUCGCCACCUCACCCGCUUAAAGAUAACCUUCAGGUGACUAGAGAUUAGAGGUCGACCGAUUAAUCAGUAUGGCCGAUUAAUUGGGGCCGAUUUCAAGUUUUCAUAACAAUCGGUAAUCGGCAUUUCUGAACGCCGAUUGUGGACGAUUUAAAAAAUAUAUACCUUUAUUUAACUAGGCAAGUCAGUUAAGAACACAUUCUUAUUUUCAAUGACGGCCUAGGAACGGUGGGUUAACUGCCUUGUUCAGGGGCGGAACGACAGAUUUUUACCUUGUCAGCUCGGGGAUUCGAUCUUGCAACCUUCCGGUUACUAGUCCAACGCUCUAACUACC
This 869-nucleotide long non-coding RNA is filed under the name Salmo salar (Atlantic salmon). RNAcentral's name for it is "lncRNA (ENSSSAG00000094755.1, ENSSSAG00075012120.1)". Lineage: Eukaryota; Metazoa; Chordata; Actinopteri; Salmoniformes; Salmonidae. The record is from RNAcentral.